UUCCUGCUCCUCUCUGACCGGUUUCUCUGUGGCGGAAACACCCAGAGAUGAGCCUCUGGCCGAACUGAAGGCUGUUAUGAAUUCAAGUCUUUUCAAGCCGGGAGUGGGGAAUAAAGACCACAGAGAUGCAGAUUUUGUGAUUUCUUUCUUUCUCUCCUCUUUCCUUCCUCCCCCUCCCUUUCUUCUUCCUCUUUUUUUUCCCCCUUUUAACAAUGAUGCCUCCAGGUGAUGAGUAUUUCUGCUCCUACACAGUCUCGUAUUGCUUCCAGGUUUCCCGUUGACCGAGGGGUCCCUCACCAGCCCAGAUCCAGGACGUCUGAGGACGCGGGCCAGCCCUCCCACCAGCCCCGGUCUCGGCGGCCACCGUCAUCAGCUGGUGCUGGCAGUGUGCCCUCGCUCGGGUCUGCGCUGUUCCAGAGGAUUUGAGAAAGCACGGCCUUGUCGCUCUGCCAAAGAGACCUGAUCCCAUGAAACCGAAGGACCAAAUCAGCCUGAUUCUGAGAAGCACCCGGGCGGAGGAAACUGGAAAUCAGGUGCCGGGGAACUCGCCGCCGGUGACUGGUGCCUUUACUGAGAGUCAUUUUGCAGAACUUACUCUUUGGGGAUUGAGGCUGGAAUAAGUCUAAACUACUUUGUCUUGACUGCUGGAAAACGGCUUCUGGCCUGGAUGAGAGCAGCGGUCCCUGUAGGUCUCACACGGGGCGCCUGUGACGGGUGAGCCCCCGGGGUCUGCUCUGCAGCCGAGGUCCCAAGAAGCCAGGAACCCGGCAGCGCUGGCCUCUGACAUGCCUGGCGGGACCUGGUGGAGCAGGCGCCUGGCCCCGGAUCUCCCGCAGCUGGGCCCAGCGUGCUCCCCACGCGACUGCCGAGUUAGAACUUUUUCACCCCUAGUGAUGGCUCUGGAGCCUUCGGUUCAAAAUGCUAAACAGAGACACUGUCUCUGCGUCUGCGGGACCCAGCGGGGGACUCUCAGAACCCAGACUCCUGCACACCAAGACAGGACUUCGGGUAGAAAACAUUAAAUUCCGAGGCUGAGACCCAGGCUGCCCCAGCCGUGAGCACGCUGCCACCCCGGGGGGACUCGGGCAGGGUCCUCCCGGCUCAGAGGUGGGUCCUGCCUUUUCUGAGAGUGUGAACGGCGUUCCGGGCGCCCUGCUAGGCCAGGGUGCCUGGCUUGUCUCCUGGAGCAGGUGCUGAUGGUGCAGGUAGACGGCAAAGAACCCCUCGAGCUGCCGAGUCUGGGUGGCACGCUGACUUCUCCAGCGGAUGCACGACCUCCUGAGGCAAACAGCGGAUUCUACCAGAGGUGCUGCGAGGCUGGGGGCUCUCUCUCCCCAAAGCCUGAGCACGGCUCCCAGCGCUGGGCUGGGAGGGGCGGAGCUCGGCUCAUCAGGGGUGGACGCCCCCCACUCACCCGCAGGGUCUCCCCUGGGCCCCGCCCUGCUGGCAGCCCUCCUUGAACUCUCACCUGGGGCAGGAGGUGGCCUUUG
Long non-coding RNA from Camelus dromedarius (Arabian camel), 1490 nucleotides. RefSeq lists it as uncharacterized. Lineage: Eukaryota; Metazoa; Chordata; Mammalia; Artiodactyla; Camelidae. The transcript is spliced from 3 exons. The record is from RefSeq and is a predicted model, not a curated record.